GGCAAAGAAAGGGGCGCAGGUGAGAGACCCGAAACGUCCAGGUCCAGAGCCCGGGAGGAAAGAGCCAGGGGCCGGUGCAGGGAUGGGCUCCAGGUCAGGAUGAGCAGUGCCUGACGAGGCCCCUGAAGCGCGCGGGUUGGAGUGAAAGCCAGGCAAGGAAACGCGGAGCAAAAACUGUGGGGCCCUGGACUGUGCUAGAGGCGGGAAGAGAGCAGCGGAGACGGAAGGUACUGUGAAGUCCCCGGUGAGCCUAGAAACAAACGCACAACCUUCUGUGGCGGACCAGGACAUGGACCCGGGAAAGAACGGGGGCGGCGGAACGUGACCGGGAAGCUAGGCGCGCGCCACCACCCAGGAACGAGCGCGGGCCCUCAGCAGAGCGCGCUGGAACCCGACAGGAGCCAGAGAGUAGGGAGGGC
Molecule: long non-coding RNA, 419 nt
Filed under: Marmota monax (woodchuck)
Lineage: Eukaryota; Metazoa; Chordata; Mammalia; Rodentia; Sciuridae
Source: RNAcentral